AAUAAGGCAACGCUUGACUGAGGUGA
RNAcentral lists this non-coding RNA (26 nucleotides) under Mus musculus (house mouse). Lineage: Eukaryota; Metazoa; Chordata; Mammalia; Rodentia; Muridae. The record is from RNAcentral.